GCGGGCACUGCCAGGAGCUCGCCUCGCCGCUGCCGCUCCGUUCAUGUUCAGGAAACAAGACAGGCGACCGAAACGGACUCGUAUAGAGCCCUUGGUUCGCACAGAGCUGUCGGACAUGUCACCUUAGGCCUGACUGAAGUUGGAAUUGUUUCCUCCAAGGACAAGCAGGACGGCAGGUCCUUGACCUCAGUACCGUAGUUGGGUCAUGAAGCAGCAUUUGCACCGAGAGCAAAAUUUUUACUUAGACGAUAUAAUGAACACACAGCAAAGACUGUAUUGAAAUCAUGAAUUACGGAGGAAAUCAGGAAGGUUACAGUAAGAAGUAGUUUCAACGAAUUCAAAGGAGAUGUUCCAGAACCAUACAUAGACAGAUGUUCCUCAGCUUACGAUGGGGUUAUGUCCCGAUAAACACAUGGUACGUUGAAAAUCGUAAAUCAAAGUGCAUUUCACACCGCUAAGCUACUGAACAUCAUACUUAGCCUCGUCCACCUUACGUAUGCGCAGAACUCUUACCUUAGCCUACAGCUGGAAAAAAUCAACAUUGAACACAGUUUAUUUUAUAAUAAAAUAUUGAAUAUCUCAUGUAA
This is a long non-coding RNA of Miniopterus natalensis, 587 nucleotides long. RefSeq lists it as uncharacterized. Lineage: Eukaryota; Metazoa; Chordata; Mammalia; Chiroptera; Miniopteridae. The record is from RefSeq and is a predicted model, not a curated record.